AGAAUCAACGCUGGCGGCGUGCCUAACACAUGCAAGUUCGAACGAGAAAGUGGAGCAAUCCAUGAGUAAAGUGGCGACCGGGUGAGUAACACGUGACUAACCUACCUUCGAGUGGGGGAUAACCUCGGGAAACCGAGGCUAAUACCGCAUAACAUCGCAAGAUCAAAGCAGCAAUGCGCUGGAAGAGGGGGUCGCGGCUGAUUAGCUAGUUGGCGGGGUAACGGCCCACCAAGGCGAAGAUCGGUA
This 246-nucleotide ribosomal RNA is filed under the name uncultured bacterium. RNAcentral describes it as "partial small subunit ribosomal RNA". It matches the Rfam family "Bacterial small subunit ribosomal RNA", at positions 26 to 285 of the family's 1533-position model. The record is from RNAcentral.